This 495-nucleotide ribosomal RNA is filed under the name uncultured bacterium. Its description in RNAcentral is "partial 16S ribosomal RNA". It matches the Rfam family "Bacterial small subunit ribosomal RNA", at positions 28 to 505 of the family's 1533-position model. The record is from RNAcentral.
GAUGAACGCUGGCGGCGUGCCUAAUACAUGCAAGUCGAGCGAACAGACGAGGAGCUUGCUCCUCUGACGUUAGCGGCGGACGGGUGAGUAACACGUGGAUAACCUACCUAUAAGACUGGGAUAACUUCGGGAAACCGGAGCUAAUACCGGAUAAUAUAUUGAACCGCAUGGUUCAAUAGUGAAAGACGGUUUUGCUGUCACUUAUAGAUGGAUCCGCGCCGCAUUAGCUAGUUGGUAAGGUAACGGCUUACCAAGGCAACGAUGCGUAGCCGACCUGAGAGGGUGAGAGGGCACAAGAGAGCUGACACACGGACCAGACUACAGCGGGAGGCAGCAGUAGUGAGUGAUCCGGAAGGGGCGAAAGCCUGACAAAGCAACGCAGCGUGAGUGAUGAAGGUCGUCGGAUCGUAGAACUCUGUUAUUUGGGAAGAACAAAUGUGUAAGUAACAAGGCACGGCUAGACGGUACCUAAUCAGAAAGCCACGGCUAACUACG